GAUGAACGCUGGCGGCGUGCCUAAUACAUGCAAGUCGAGCGAACAGACGAGGAGCUUGCUCCUCUGACGUUAGCGGCGGACGGGUGAGUAACACGUGGAUAACCUACCUAUAAGACUGGGAUAACUUCGGGAAACCGGAGCUAAUACCGGAUAAUAUAUUGAACCGCAUGGUUCAAUAGUGAAAGACGGUUUUGCUGUCACUUAUAGAUGGACCCGCGCCGCAUUAGCUAGUUGGUAAGGUAACGGCUUACCAAGGCAACGAUGCGUAGCCGACCUGGGAGGGGAAUCGGCCACACGGGACUUGAGAAACGUUCCAGAUUCCUAGGGGAGGCAGCGGUGGGGAUUUUGGCGCAAUGGGCGAAAGCUUGACGGAGCAACGCCGCGGGGGUGAGGAAGGUUUUCGGAUCGUAAAACGCUGUUAUUAGGGAAGAACAAAUGUGUAAGUAACUAUGCAGGUCUGGACGGUACCUAAUCAGAAGGCCACGGCUAACUACGU
Molecule: ribosomal RNA, 496 nt
Filed under: uncultured bacterium
Lineage: Bacteria
Description: partial 16S ribosomal RNA
Rfam family: Bacterial small subunit ribosomal RNA
Source: RNAcentral